GGACCUUUAGCUCAGUUGGUCAGAGCAACCGGCUCAUAACCGGUCGGUCCUGGGUUCGAGUCCCCGAAGGUCCA
Molecule: transfer RNA, 74 nt
Filed under: Lachnospiraceae bacterium
Lineage: Bacteria; Bacillati; Bacillota; Clostridia; Lachnospirales; Lachnospiraceae
Also listed under: 2 other names
Description: tRNA-Ile
Rfam family: tRNA
About the family: Transfer RNA (tRNA) molecules are approximately 80 nucleotides in length. Their secondary structure includes four short double-helical elements and three loops (D, anti-codon, and T loops). Further hydrogen bonds mediate the characteristic L-shaped molecular structure. tRNAs have two regions of fundamental functional importance: the anti-codon, which is responsible for specific mRNA codon recognition, and the 3' end, to which the tRNAs corresponding amino acid is attached (by aminoacyl-tRNA synthetases). tRNAs cope with the degeneracy of the genetic code in two manners: having more than one tRNA (with a specific anti-codon) for a particular amino acid; and 'wobble' base-pairing, i.e. permitting non-standard base-pairing at the 3rd anti-codon position.
Source: RNAcentral